RNAcentral lists this ribosomal RNA (468 nucleotides) under uncultured bacterium. RNAcentral describes it as "partial 16S ribosomal RNA". It matches the Rfam family "Bacterial small subunit ribosomal RNA", at positions 28 to 507 of the family's 1533-position model. The record is from RNAcentral.
GACGAACGCUGGCGGCGUGCUUAACACAUGCAAGUCGAACGGAAAGGCCCUGCAUUUGUGGGGUGCUCGAGUGGCGAACGGGUGAGUAACACGUGAGUAACCUGCCCUUGACUUUGGGAUAACUUCAGGAAACUGGGGCUAAUACCGGAUAGGAGCUCCUGCUGCAUGGUGGGGGUUGGAAAGUUUCGGCGGUUGGGGUUGGACUCGCGGCUUAUCAGCUCGUUGGUGGGGUAGUGGCUUACCAAGGCUUUGACGGGUAGCCGGCCUGAGAGGGUGACCGGCCACAGUGGGACUGAGAUACGGCCCAGACUCCGACGGGAGGCAGCAGAGGGGAAUAUUGCACAACGGGCGGAAGCCUGAUGCAGCAACGCCGCGUGCGGGAUGACGGCCGUCGGGUUGUAGACCGCUUUCGCCUGUGACGAAGCGUGAGUGACGGUAAUGGGUAAAGAAGCACCGGCUAACUACGUG